UAGCGAAGAGGUCAAACGCGUUAGGCUUAAGCCCUAACCCCGUAAGGGUUCGUGGGUUCGAACCCCAC
RNAcentral lists this transfer RNA (68 nucleotides) under Coemansia sp. RSA 1878. RNAcentral describes it as "tRNA-Leu". It matches the Rfam family "tRNA", at positions 8 to 63 of the family's 71-position model. Rfam says of the family: Transfer RNA (tRNA) molecules are approximately 80 nucleotides in length. Their secondary structure includes four short double-helical elements and three loops (D, anti-codon, and T loops). The record is from RNAcentral. Lineage: Eukaryota; Fungi; Kickxellomycota; Kickxellomycetes; Kickxellales; Kickxellaceae.